Molecule: ribosomal RNA, 269 nt
Filed under: uncultured bacterium
Lineage: Bacteria
Description: partial 16S ribosomal RNA
Rfam family: Bacterial small subunit ribosomal RNA
Source: RNAcentral
UACGUAGGCAGCGAGCGUUGUUCGGAGUUACUGGGCGUAAAGGGUGUGUAGGCGGUUGUUUAAGUUUGGUGUGAAAUCUCCCGGCUCAACUGGGAGGGUGCGCCGAAUACUGAAUGACUAGAGUGCGGGAGAGGUGAGUGGAAUUCCGGGUGUAGCGGUGGAAUGCGUAGAGAUCCGGAAGAACACCGGUGGCGAAGGCGGCCUGCUGGGCAGUAGCCGAAAGGCUUGAAAGCUGACGCUGAGGCGCGACAGCGUGGGGAGCAAACAGG